CCCUUAGAUUGUCUGGGCGGCACGCGCGCUACAAUGAUGCAUUCAAAAAGUCUUCUGACCUUAGAAGGUUGGGUAUUCUCCAAAGUGCAUCGUGAUGGGAAUAGUUUAUUGCAAUUUUUAAUCUUGAACGAGGAAUUCCUAGUAAGUACAGGUCAUCAACUUGUGUUGAUUACGUCCCUGCCCUUUGUACACACCGUCCGUCGCUCCUACUGAUUGAGUGUCUCGGUGAAUUCGUUGAUCUUCUGUCGAUUCAGUUCACUGAUCCGACGGUGGAAAGUUGAAUGAACUUCGUCACUUAGAGGAAGGAGAAGUCGUAACA
RNAcentral lists this ribosomal RNA (319 nucleotides) under uncultured eukaryote. RNAcentral's name for it is "partial 18S ribosomal RNA". It matches the Rfam family "Eukaryotic small subunit ribosomal RNA", at positions 1470 to 1796 of the family's 1831-position model. The record is from RNAcentral.